This 2095-nucleotide long non-coding RNA is filed under the name Mus musculus (house mouse). RNAcentral describes it as "predicted gene, 57030". The record is from RNAcentral. Lineage: Eukaryota; Metazoa; Chordata; Mammalia; Rodentia; Muridae.
ACCACACCAGAUACAUUCAGUCGUCCUACAGGUGUUUCCAGAAACUUGACCGCAGAGCCCCCUUGAACUAUCUGAGCAUAAGGGCAGCGGGUCAGGUCAGCGAAGAUACAAAAGGAACAAACUGUGUCUCCUGGACCGAAGGGGCGUCAGGAGUCCUGCAGAGAGGAGGGUUUGGCUUUCUGGGGAUCAAGUCCCAGUGCCCGCGAGAACUUCGGGGUUUGGCUGCUGUGCCAGGGGUUCGGGGAGAGCUGCCGAAGCUCCGCCUCACAGGGCGGCCCCCUUCUGCCGGCUCCGAUCUUGGAACAGUGUUGAGGGUCUUUCUACGACCCCGCAGACAGCCUGCGUAUUGGAGCUAACCUCUCUGGAGAGAGGGUUCUCCCGAGGCGCCCUGUGUGGGAGGGGACGACCCACGCCCCCACGAAGCUUCCGCGCCGACGUCCAGAAAGGCCCCAGUGUCCCCGAUGCCUGUCCGGGCGCCUGCGGCACUUACACGCUCGUGGGUCCUCCGCUGGGCAGAAACGAAACUUUCUAGGGCCGAGCGGAAGAGUAGGCGAGCACAGAGCCGACUGCCAUGAAGCGCCCAGUAGCCCCAGAGCGCGCGCGGACUACAACUCCCGGCAUGCCUCACGGAUGGCCUACAACUCCCGGCAUGCUUCACGGAUGGCCUACAACUCCCGGCAUGCUUCACGGAUGGCCUACAACUCCCGGCAUGCUUCACGGAUGGCCUACAACUCCCGGCAUGCUUCACGGAUGGCCUACAACUCCCAUCGGGUGCAACUGGACGGUGGACGCUAACUACGACUCCCGGCAUGUCUCACGGCAGACGUCACUUCCUGAAACUCGAACAAGCUUCGGAUACCCGGAAGUCGUGUGUAGAAUCCUGAACGAGUGCUGUUUACUGUUGUUAAGCUCAUGCAUUGUGACCGAUUGGCUUUGAACUGUGCAUGAGCUGUAAAUAUAAAAUAAUGUGCCCGAUUCCGAAACCCCCCAAACAAUCUGAGAAUAAUCUCAUUAGUAUUUUUGUACUAUUACGUUUUAUUUAUGAAGCUAAAAAAAAAUGAACUUAGUAUGUACUGCUGGACCUAAGUUCUCAGUUUUUGUUUCCCCCUCAUUAACAGACACUUAAAAAACAGUGUUUGAAAAUAUGUGCUAAAGAACUACCAUGCUUAGCUUCCUCAGUCCCGUGUUUGCUUGUUGCUGAGUUGCAAAGCACCCUGAAGCCUGGUGCAAUAGAACACUGCAUUCCAAGUCCAGUAUGGAUGAACAUGCUAAAGACAGGGGACAGUACAUAGGAAUGUCAGCCCAUGAUUAGGUUCGCUUCUUAGCUCUGGCUGGCUCCUCACACUGCCUUAUUUUCAUCAUGUUAGCUAGAAAUGCUUGUGUACCUUACAGGACUUAGCUAAUAGUGGCAUCUGCCAGACUUCAGCAUUCCAGGUUCUCAGGAUAAAUUCAUACAGGAAGGAAAAGAAAUCUUUUAAGUUAAUUUCAUAUUUUAUACUGGAGGUAUAUGAGACAACAUAUUAACUUGAUGGAGUUGUCAGUUUGUGGAUGAGGAUAAAAAAAACCUCACGAAGAGAAAUGAUUCCCCUUUCUGUUAACAAAGGAAAACAAAAAAAAGGGAAGAAGUGGGAGGAAAUGACAUCAGAAAUAAAGAUUUAUCAAUAGAGUGAACUAAGAAAAACUUGCUCUGACUACAGCCUGAACAGCUUUGGGAUGUUAAGAUUGAGAGUGUGAGGCAUGUGGAAGACAACCUUGUGAAGGAAUAUGUGGGGUGGAGAGCACUGUGCCACAGAGUCCUGAUCUGCUGUACAUGGUGUCAGAUCUAAGAUGGCUCCCGGGACACCAGUGAGACAGCAAAAAGGAACUAAGGUCAAGACAGUGGCUGCUUCUGAGUCUUCACAAAAGUCCCUACAGGUGACAAUGCUCGCCACACCCCUUCUCUCUGAGUUACCUCAUCAGUCACAGCUUUUAUUGGGAUAUGGUGAGAUGUAGUAAGUUAUGCUUGGCCAAGGAUUUAGGGGCUUGGGAUUGGCUCAAAUACUGUAUAUAAGCUUAUGUGCUUGGCAAUAAAUGCAGAUCUGCACACUGAUACUGA